CGAACGUCAUGGGUUGUUCUUAUGCUGUUCUUAAGGCAUUCGUUAGUGCGUCCUGUGAAAGGGGGUUUCGUACUGCGUUCGUGGAAAAACUUGUACAAGAUCGCUCACCUGGCUACAAACUUAGGAACAGUCCACGAACACUCCAAUCUUAUACGACUGCCUUGAGAAGGUCGUACGAAAUGGUCCAUAAAUCAUUCACACAGUGUUCGUAGUCCUUCGUAACGGCAUUUGUGACUGAGGCUUCAUACUCCUCAGUUCUG
Sphaeramia orbicularis (orbiculate cardinalfish) is the source of this 260-nucleotide long non-coding RNA. RefSeq lists it as uncharacterized. Lineage: Eukaryota; Metazoa; Chordata; Actinopteri; Kurtiformes; Apogonidae. The transcript has 3 exons. The record is from RefSeq and is a predicted model, not a curated record.